GUUGGUGACAAGAGCGGUGGGGGUACACCCGGAUCCAUCUCGAACCCGGCAGUUAAGCCCACCAGCGUCGAUGGUAGUGCAUGGGUAACUGUGUGCGAGAGUAGACCGUCGCCAACA
This 117-nucleotide ribosomal RNA is filed under the name Caldilineaceae bacterium. The record is from RNAcentral. Lineage: Bacteria; Bacillati; Chloroflexota; Caldilineae; Caldilineales; Caldilineaceae.